RNAcentral lists this small nuclear RNA (28 nucleotides) under Arabidopsis thaliana (thale cress). RNAcentral describes it as "snRNA_03740". Lineage: Eukaryota; Viridiplantae; Streptophyta; Magnoliopsida; Brassicales; Brassicaceae. The record is from RNAcentral.
GUAAAGCCAGAGGAAACUCUGGUGGAAG